GAGUUGUGAUGUAAACUGAUUCAUGAAGUCAGAAAAUUUUUCCCUCAAAAAGAAAGUCAGGAAAUACUCCAGAAAUUAAAAAUCCUCCAUCAACCUAAACCCUCAUCCGCGAAAAACCUCCAUCAGCGAAAACCUCCACUAACGAAAUACUCCAGAAAUUGAAACUCGACCUCCAUCAACAAGUAGAGGAUGAAAUUGCUAAAUUGUUCUUUUCUCAAAUUUCUCCCCAUUUCAAUUUUACUAAUCUUAGGGUUUAUGCGCUAUAUUAUUUUUUUCAUUUUGUAGGAGUAUAAUUAAAAAUUUAAUCUUAGUUGUUGGGAUGAAUUCUUGGAGGGAUCCGUGAAAUCAUUUUGUGCUGAUCUUCGAUCUACUUGUUAUUCGAUGCUAUCGACAGUGUGAUGGAAAAUUGGUUUUCAAAGUCACCGAUAACAGGGAGGACUCGGUUUCUUUUUACCCACUUUUUUCUGGAAUUUUAGGGGUUUUUAUGUCAGGUUCAAAAUUGUUUGGUUUUAUUACAGGGUUAGAACUAAUGGAUGGGAAUUAUGCAAGCUUUUUUUGUAGAUCUUAUUGAUCUUAUCCUAAAAUAGUAGAUCUUAUUGAUCUUAUUCUAAAAUAGUAGAUCUUAUUGAUCUUAUUCUAAAAUGAAAUUAUCAUUGGUUGUGUUAAAAGAAUUUAUACUUAAGGGAGUUUAUCAUAGUUUGCUGGUUUUGGAUGUGAGUUCACUGAGUUGUUAAUAUGUAAUGUUUACCAUACGUAUAGUAAAAUUAACUGAACGAAAUUCAUGAUAGUUUCCACAUUUAAGUAUAACUACAAUUAGUAGUAUCACAAGUAAUGAAUCCUGAUGUAUUUCUGCAUUACUCUGUUGUCUGCAUUACCUUUAUGGCAAGUUCAGACAUCAUCAUAGAAUCAUAUAUUCCUACAGAUUUAAUGUGAGAAAUUGAUUCCUUCAUACAAGUAUAAGCUUCCUGUGUGUAGCUGUGACUAGUUCUGAAUGCAUGAGCUUGUUGUUGGCAGAAAUAGUCUCUAUGGUUAUCGAUACCAAGUACUGCUAGUAGAGGUUCAUCAUGUUCUUGAAGAUCCUCAAUCUUUGUCAUGCUGGAAAUUCUAUUCUUCCGCUCUUCUGAUUCUUCAUGAUCAAUUAAUUACACUUGUUGAAUUCUUGCAAGUACUGCUGGUAUAGUCGCCUUUUGAAAUCGAUCUUACACCACGGCUCACAGGUUUUGACCAAUGUUCAGGAUGAUAGCUCUCUGGAAACUGGAAAUACUGAUGGAAAUAGGUUUAUGUGAGUCAACCAACCUAUUUGGUGAAUUGGUUGUCGAUUCAGAUACAAAAGAGUUACGACACUAUACAGAAAAGCCUGAGUUAAAUUAGCACAAGCAUUUCACUCUGGAGGCAUAUACUCGAGAAGUUAUCGAUGAUGUUCGUGAAAGAUGGUGUAGAUUUUUCAUUGAUAAUUGUUUAUAGUUAAUUAAUUUUAGUUUGACACUUAGUUGACAUAAACUUCUUAAAUUUGUACCCAAUAUUUUCUAAUAUGUAAAAAUACAAAAGUACUAUGUAUGACUUUUAUCAAUUUUGGAGAUAAUAUUGCAGUGGUUUGAAUUUUUA
Molecule: long non-coding RNA, 1605 nt
Organism: Spinacia oleracea (spinach)
Lineage: Eukaryota; Viridiplantae; Streptophyta; Magnoliopsida; Caryophyllales; Amaranthaceae
Exons: 5
Source: RefSeq, a predicted model, not a curated record